RNAcentral lists this ribosomal RNA (702 nucleotides) under Salmonella enterica. RNAcentral describes it as "partial 23S ribosomal RNA". It matches the Rfam family "Bacterial large subunit ribosomal RNA", at positions 498 to 1199 of the family's 2925-position model. The record is from RNAcentral. Lineage: Bacteria; Pseudomonadati; Pseudomonadota; Gammaproteobacteria; Enterobacterales; Enterobacteriaceae.
GUACCGUGAGGGAAAGGCGAAAAGAACCCCGGCGAGGGGAGUGAAAAAGAACCUGAAACCGUGUACGUACAAGCAGUGGGAGCACAGGUUUACCUGUGUGACUGCGUACCUUUUGUAUAAUGGGUCAGCGACUUAUAUUCUGUAGCAAGGUUAACCGAAUAGGGGAGCCGGAGGGAAACCGAGUCUUAAUUGGGCGUUAAGUUGCAGGGUAUAGACCCGAAACCCGGUGAUCUAGCCAUGGGCAGGUUGAAGGUUGGGUAACACUAACUGGAGGACCGAACCGACUAAUGUUGAAAAAUUAGCGGAUGACCUGUGGCUGGGGGUGAAAGGCCAAUCAAACCGGGAGAUAGCUGGUUCUCCCCGAAAGCUAUUUAGGUAGCGCCUCGUGAAUUCAUCUCCGGGGGUAGAGCACUGUUUCGGCUAGGGGGCCAUCCCGGCUUACCAACCCGAUGCAAACUGCGAAUACCGGAGAAUGUUAUCACGGGAGACACACGGCGGGUGCUAACGUCCGUCGUGAAGAGGGAAACAACCCAGACCGCCAGCUAAGGUCCCAAAGUCAUGGUUAAGUGGGAAACGAUGUGGGAAGGCCCAGACAGCCAGGAUGUUGGCUUAGAAGCAGCCAUCAUUUAAAGAAAGCGUAAUAGCUCACUGGUCGAGUCGGCCUGCGCGGAAGAUGUAACGGGGCUAAACCAUGCACCGAAG